This 399-nucleotide long non-coding RNA is filed under the name Betta splendens (Siamese fighting fish). RNAcentral describes it as "lncRNA (ENSBSLG00000021651.1)". Lineage: Eukaryota; Metazoa; Chordata; Actinopteri; Anabantiformes; Osphronemidae. The record is from RNAcentral.
AUGCUCCUGACGCUCACCUCUGACAAGCUGCUGUCAUCCCUGCCUGCCAUGGCUCAACACGUGCCGGGUCUCAGCCUGACACAAGCCAACGCGGUCGCCACCAAACUCUGGGGCUUCCCAGAAGUCGUCAACUGGUUGGAUGACGUGGAUCCUUUGCUCUAUUGCACGCCUUUGCUCAGCAUCCUGGCCAGAACUCAUCUGCUUGUGAAAAACAUCACCGCAACCUCCACGAAACGCUGGAACACGCAGCAGGCUGAAGCGAUUUUCACGGAGGUUCUGAACACCAACUCGAGCCUGGUGAAACAAAGAUUUCUGUACGUACAAGUAACAUGUUCACUCUAUGCUCAGCUCACCAGCGCACAGCAUGUAGCUUGUACUGAGGCUGAGCUUUGUUUCUGA